GCCCUUGUAGUUUAAAAAAAAUUUUAAUUUUGUAAAUUAAAGAUGUCCCCCAAGGGUAAUUAUAUCGCUACAGAAACAAGAUCCAUCUCUAAGAAUCUUAAA
Molecule: transfer RNA, 102 nt
Filed under: Proasellus margalefi
Lineage: Eukaryota; Metazoa; Arthropoda; Malacostraca; Isopoda; Asellidae
Description: transfert RNA-T(ACA)
Source: RNAcentral